UCUUCCCUCUGGCGGCGUGCCUAAUACAUGCAAGUCGAGCGAACGGACGAGAAGCUUGCUUCUCUGAUGUUAGCGGCGGACGGGUGAGUAACACGUGGAUAACCUACCUAUAAGACUGGGAUAACUUCGGGAAACCGUAGCUAAUACCGGAUAAUAUUUUGAACCGCAUGGUUCAAAAGUGAAAGACGGUCUUGCUGUCACUUAUAGAUGGAUCCGCGCUGCAUUAGCUAGUUGGUAAGGUAACGGCUUACCAAGGCAACGAUGCAUAGCCGAACUGAGAGGGUGAUCGGCCAAACUGGAAACGAGACACGGUCCAGACUCCUAAGGGAGGCAGGAGUAGGGAAUCCUCCGCAAUGGGCCAAAGCCUGAACGAGCCAAGGCGAGUGAGUGAUGAAGGUCUUUCGAUCCUAAAACUCUUUUAUUAGGGAAGAACAUAUGUGUAAGUAACUGUGCACAUCUUGACGGUACCUAAUCAGAAAGCCACGGCUAACUACGUG
Molecule: ribosomal RNA, 497 nt
Filed under: uncultured bacterium
Lineage: Bacteria
Description: partial 16S ribosomal RNA
Rfam family: Bacterial small subunit ribosomal RNA
Source: RNAcentral